RNAcentral lists this ribosomal RNA (342 nucleotides) under uncultured bacterium. RNAcentral's name for it is "partial 16S ribosomal RNA". It matches the Rfam family "Bacterial small subunit ribosomal RNA", at positions 338 to 697 of the family's 1533-position model. The record is from RNAcentral.
CCUACGGGAGGCAGCAGUGGGGAAUAUUGCACAAUGGGGGAAACCCUGAUGCAGCGACGCCGCGUGAGUGAAGAAGGAUUUCGGGAUGGAAAGCUCUAGCAGCAGGGAAGAAAAUGACGGUACCUGAGUAAGAAGACCCGGCGAACUACGUGCCAGAAGCCGCGGUAAUACGUAGGGGGCAAGCGUGAUCCGGAUUUACUGGGGGUCAAGGGAGCGUAGACGGCAGCCCAAGUCUGGAGUGAAAUGCCGGGGCUUAACCCCGGAACUGCUUUGGAAACUGUGCAGCUAGAGUGCCGGAGAGGUCAGUGGCAUUCCUCUUGUAGCGGUGCAAUGCGUCGCUAU